RNAcentral lists this long non-coding RNA (484 nucleotides) under Olea europaea (common olive). RNAcentral describes it as "long non-coding RNA (OEUR_LNC004852)". Lineage: Eukaryota; Viridiplantae; Streptophyta; Magnoliopsida; Lamiales; Oleaceae. The record is from RNAcentral.
UUUUUUUUUUUUUUUUUUAAGCGAAUACCACUAGUGUGGUUUAUUUUAUAUAAUGAAAAGCGGGAAAACAAAUAGAGGAGGGGGGCAUGGACCUGACCUCCAGCAAAUGUAAAUUGUAACAAAUAUUUGAAGAUAAAAUGCAAUCACAGUAAACAAGACACGAACAAAAACUAAUGAAAGGGACUCAAGGGUAUUCCCGAGGGUAAAUCUUCGGGUGGUAGUACAUAGACAUUGAUCGAGUCAUGCGUCUGGUUUGAAACAUUUCCGGAUCAUAGUAGUCUGCGAUGUCUGGCUCGCUCGUUGGAGAGGGGUCUCGCCUGCGUGUAGGAGCCUGCUUUGUUGAUAAGUACUGUUCAGAUGGUGGUGCACUGAAUGUCGGGCGAAAAGCGGGUGCAUCUGAUCUCAUUGUACUAGUCAUAGGUGCGUCUAAUCUCAUGGUGUUCUGUGCUACGACAUCUGAAUCGUGGGAGAUUGACCUGCUUNN